UGGUCUGAUUUUAAGUCAGACCCGUACAAUCCUAUAACCAGCCGUAUUUUCAAGUCAGACCUGGUCUGGCUGGUGUUUUCCGGACCUAGUCUGGAAAAAGCAGUGCUCAAAGUUUGCAAGCUCGUAAUGCAAAAGCUGCAGAACUAGGGUCUGGAAUUGGUCAGACACCCACCGGCUCCUGACGCCGUGAGACAGCGGCGUGCUCAAGUGGCUGCGCAGUGUUCUGUUAGAACAUGCAGAAGUGAGAAUGAGUCAGAGAGCCAGAAGCCAACCAGAAAAAUGAGAGCCGUGAGUGUCCAGACUUCUGUGCCAACACUUCCAGAAGGCACUUGAAUGUGAACUAUCAGCUUGAAAAUAUCACAUGGGAAUAACUACUACAACAGAGGAGUCACUUAUCUUUCAG
Molecule: long non-coding RNA, 403 nt
Organism: Mustela erminea (ermine)
Lineage: Eukaryota; Metazoa; Chordata; Mammalia; Carnivora; Mustelidae
Exons: 3
Source: RefSeq, a predicted model, not a curated record